Molecule: ribosomal RNA, 468 nt
Filed under: uncultured bacterium
Lineage: Bacteria
Description: partial 16S ribosomal RNA
Rfam family: Bacterial small subunit ribosomal RNA
Source: RNAcentral
GACGAACGCUGGCGGCGCGCCUAACACAUGCAAGUCGAACGGAGUCAAGAGGAGCUUGCUUUUCUUGACUUAGUGGCGAACGGGUGAGUAACGCGUGAGUAACCUGCCCUGGAGUGGGGGACAACAGUUGGAAACGACUGCUAAUACCGCAUAAGCCCACGGAUCUGCAUGGAUCUGCGGGAAAAGGAUUUAUUCGCUCUAGGAUGGACUCGCGUCCAAUUAGCUAGUUGGUGAGGUAACGGCCCACCAAGGCGACGAUUGGUAGCCGGACUGAGAGGUUGAACGGCCACAUUGGGACUGAGACACGGCCCAGACUCCUACGGGAGGCAGCAGUGGGGGAUAUUGCACAAUGGGGGAAACCCUGAUGCAGCGACGCCGCGUGGAGGAAGAAGGUUUUCGGAUUGUAAACUCCUGUCAUUAGGGACGAUAAUGACGGUACCUAACAAGAAAGCACCAGCUAACUACGUG